GACGAACGCUGGCGGCGUGCUUAACACAUGCAAGUCGAACGGAAAGGCCCUGCUUUCGUGGGGUGCUCGAGUGGCGAACGGGUGAGUAACACGUGAGUAACCUGCCCUUGACUUUGGGAUAACUUCAGGAAACUGGGGCUAAUAUAGGAUAGGAGCUCCUGCUGCAUGGUGGGGGUUGGAAAGUCGCGGCGGUUGGGGAUGGACGCGCGGCUUAUCAGCUUGUUGGUGGGGUAGUGGCUUACCAAGGCUUUGACGGGUAGCCGGCCUGAGAGGGUGACCGGCCACAUUGGGCCUGAGGUACGGCCCAGACUCCUACGGGAGGCAGCAGUGGGGAAUAUGGCACAGUGGGCGGAAGCCUGAUGCAGCAACGUCGCGUGCGGGAUGACGGCUUUCGGGUUGUAAACCGCUUUCGCCUGUGACGAAGCGUGAGUGACGGUAAUGGGUAAAGAAGCACCGGCUAACUACGUG
RNAcentral lists this ribosomal RNA (468 nucleotides) under uncultured bacterium. RNAcentral describes it as "partial 16S ribosomal RNA". It matches the Rfam family "Bacterial small subunit ribosomal RNA", at positions 28 to 507 of the family's 1533-position model. The record is from RNAcentral.